AUGGGGAAGUUGCCCAACACAGGAGUGAAGUUGCUUGAUAAGAACCGACACCUUGACAACUUUCCAGAUUCUGGUACAAAACAACAAGGCCAACUGGAUGUGUUGCCUAGGAAUGAUGCAAAACAACCAGUGCCUUUCGAGAAAUUGCCCAACAAUGUUAUCGAGUUUCCUGCAAGGAUCCAGCAACCUGCCACUUCAUACAUGACUGGUGGAAUAAAAACAGUGCCAGAGGAGAAGUUGCCUAGCCCUAUUGCUGUUUUGGUUGCAAGGACCCCUCAGCUUGCCAAUUCAACUACGAUGGCUGGGAAACAAACAGUGCCACUGCCCAACCAGAACUUGCCCAAUACUAUUGCUGACUUGCCUGCCAGGAACCACCAACCUGCCACCUCAGAUAUGAUCGGUGGAAAAAAAGCAGCGCGAGAGAAGAAGCCGAGGGGCACUGAACAGAUGAUGCCUGCAGGGACUGAUGUAAGACAUGCAGGUCCAGUAGCAAAGUUACUGAAAACUAACCUGAGUUUGCCUCCAACACACCUCCAAGGUGACACAAACAAGGAGAACUGGCCACCGACAAUAGUUAAAGAGCCAGCCAACGAACUCAAGAGUAGAAGGGUGUCCGGGAUGUGCGAUGACUACUGCCGAGCUCCAAGUUUUGAGUGA
RNAcentral lists this ribosomal RNA (657 nucleotides) under Triticum aestivum (bread wheat). RNAcentral describes it as "partial small subunit ribosomal RNA". The record is from RNAcentral. Lineage: Eukaryota; Viridiplantae; Streptophyta; Magnoliopsida; Poales; Poaceae.